RNAcentral lists this ribosomal RNA (422 nucleotides) under uncultured bacterium. RNAcentral's name for it is "bacterial SSU rRNA". It matches the Rfam family "Bacterial small subunit ribosomal RNA", at positions 355 to 774 of the family's 1533-position model. The record is from RNAcentral.
UGAGGAAUAUUGGGCAAUGCCCGCAAGGGUGACCCAGCAACGCCGCGUGGAGGAUGAAUGUCGUAAGAUUGUAAACUCCUGUUAGAGGGGAAGAAUAGUACCGGUUGGACCGGUAUAUGACUGUACCCUCAGAGAAAGCCCCGGCUAACUACGUGCCAGCAGCCGCGGUAAUACGUAGGGGGCAAGCGUUGUCCGGAUUUACUGGGUGUAAAGGGCGCGCAGGCGGGAUAAAAAGUCAGUGGUGAAAUCCUACAGCUUAACUGUAGAACUGCCUUUGAUACUGCUCAUCUUGAGUGUGGGAGAGGUUGAUGGAAUUCCAGGUGUAGCAGUGAAAUGCGUAGAUAUCUGGAAGAACACCAGCGGCGAAGGCGGUCAACUGGCCCAUAACUGACGCUCAUGCACGAAAGCGUGGGGAGCAAACA